AGUUCGACUCGCCUGCAUCUCCUGACAACAUAGCUGACAGGGGAAAGCUUGUCAUCGUGAAGAUAGAGGCGAGAGCUGAAGAAGAGACAAUCGACGUCGUAUCGUGAAAUUUUGUGUUUAUGUGCGUGAGUGUAUAGUGAACGCGAAAAAAGCUAAACCACGAGGAAAGUUUUUAAGACCAUGUGCUGAAAUAGAUUUACGCCAUCAGAAGCCGAUCAAAAUUCCUAGACAUCGCUCAGUUAUCAAAAAUUAUAAUUCCAUUAAAACAAAAAAAAAAUAAACAAAACUAGAUUAUCUGUGCUAACUUCGAGUUUUUUCGAUUCCAUAUUGGAAAUACUUACUUCAGUGUAUUUUAACAUUAAUGAAUUUCAAAUUUUCAUUGAUAAUUCAGAAAAUAUAUUUGAAGGAAUCAAACAAGAGUUUUUUAUCAUUUUACGUACUUACGUAGCAGCACUUAAUAUCACAACAUUAUAUACGAAUAGAGCAGAUUUUCUGAGCAAAGUUUGUAUUGAUCAGCACAACAAUAAACUUUGUUGGAGUCAGCCAAUUGGAGAUUUCGUUGCAAAAGUGAUGUACCCUAAUAUUUUUUUAAAGGCUUUGUGCUUGGUUCCAAUCGUAUCAAAUUGUCAUCAGAAGAAUUAAUGUCUCAAAAUUUAGGAAAUGAAAUAUACAGCAAACUUCAAAAAGAAUCUCAAAUUCCAUGUGAAGAGUGCACAGUUAUUGAUUUUAUAUGAAUUAGAGAUAAAAAAUUUACUUUGCAUUGACGUAGAAGAAUGUGAUACAAAUAACCAAAACUGUUCAGUACAAUUAGACAAUCUCAAUGUAUAUCUUACCGUUGAUAAACAAAAGCUCACCUUAGUUGGAGUUGUAGCAUAUAAAUAACCAAUUGGAAAUGUUAAGGUUCGACACUAUUUAUCAUAUUGUAGAGACACUGAAGGAUCUUGGUUCAUGUAUGAUGAUACGGCUAACAUAGAUAAACCAAUUAGAUUAAAAACUAAGGAUACAUUUUUAAAUAUAGCACUCGCUAUUUACUUUGCAUUUAGUACUCAUGAAUCAACAUCAUAAUUGUCUUCUACUGUAUUGCAGAUUUUAAUAAUAAAUAUUGGACAAUGUGAUAAAGUAAUUGUAGCUUAACUUACCUUUCACCAAAGAAAACCAAAAUAGAAGUUUGGUUGAGCAGACGAAGAGAGUCGCCCAGUGUCGAGAUGGCUUAUUAUUAAGACUUAAUACACCUUCAUAAUCACCAAUAUCGAAGUCUGUUAUUAAUUGGACCAACAGCUUUUAAAUUGACAAAAAACCAAAUAAUACAUUUAAAUAUUUUAUUGCGAACAAGUGACCAACUUAACGACAACUAGAUAAUUCCUUUAAAGUAAAUUAAAUUUUAUCAUAAUAUGUUUUUUUACUAUUUUGUUUUCCACUAUAAUGAAAGGGUCAAAAUAUGAUUAAGUGGGAUGUGCAAACUGUAGUGUGUAAUAAUACAAAGCUAAAAAAGCAAAAUCAUUUUAUAUAUAGAAAAAAAAGAUACAAAAUCAAAUCUUUUCUAAUAUUUUUAGAUUUGUAAAUUUCAUAAACACUUAAAAUUAAAUUAAUGCAUCACAUCUUAAAAUCACUUAAACGAUGAAGCAUUAAAAUACAAAGGUCAAUUGACCUAAAUAUUGGAAUAUAUACAAGAAGAUAUUUUCUCUCAUAAUCCUAAAAUAAACAACUAACAAAAAACGAUACUAACGCUAUAUCGUAGAAUCAUUAAGUUUCUCUGUGAAUGCUUCUGCCUAUAACGAAAGAAGAAGACAAUUCGAGGCUUUUUCAACGAGCUUUCUCGACGAUAUGAAAAAGCUUAGUAUGCGUAAAUGAGGGACUGAAUGUACAGAAAAAUGCGUGUAAAAAAAUAAAACAAAAAAAGGGUUACGAUAAAAGGGAAGCAGCAGAAAACUUAUUUUUCUACAGAAUGUCCUUGCUCUUUAAUAAGGCAUAAAUAACAAACGAAACUAAAUAAUAAUAUACUUCAAUGAAAGGAAAAAUGAAAAAGGCGUUGUAUGUGCAUGAUAAUGUAAGAUAUUUGCAUACACGUUCUACAAUGUCGACUUUUACGUUUGGUUUAGUUAUGUCAAACACAUAUCCAAUAUGUAAGAGAUUUUUUUCUAUGAUAAAUAACAAAUGGUUUUAAAAGAAAAAAUAUUUAAAUAUAUUUUCGUAAAAACGUGGAAUAUAAUACAGCAUAACUUGUUAAACGUGAUAGAACCGCAAUAUAAACUGUAUUUUGUUUUUCGCUAUAAAUGAAAGGGUCAAAAUAUGAUUAAGCGUUCCUUGCAUGACAGGGUAAACGAACAAAUAAAGCACAUAGCUGCCAAGAUUAAUUUAUACUUAUUGUUAGAAGAAAAAGUUGUGCAUAGUUAACUUGUAAAAAUUUCUCAUCAUUUUCAGGUCCUAAGAGUUGAUAUAAAACAAGAAACGUCAAUAUUUUUUACAGCCAGUGUUAUAAUUAAAAGUGUAACAUCAAAAAUACAUUAUCUGUUUCUUAAGAAAAUAAUAAAUAUUUAUUUACAUCUUUACUGAUUCUUUGCUCGUUCUUUUUCUUUUAAUUAGCUUUCACUGUAAAUAUUCAUCUCGGAUUAUCAGAUAACCCAAACUAUUAAAUUGUAUUAUUACUUAAAUAAUCUAUGUAGAGCACCAGUCACGUAUAAUUCUAUUGAGAGAAAUAGUAACUUGUGCCUACCCCAAUCCACUGAUGAAACUGAGACCUUCCGGGAAAAUCUAGUCG
RNAcentral lists this long non-coding RNA (2758 nucleotides) under Nasonia vitripennis (jewel wasp). Its description in RNAcentral is "uncharacterized LOC116417180". The record is from RNAcentral. Lineage: Eukaryota; Metazoa; Arthropoda; Insecta; Hymenoptera; Pteromalidae.